GUUCCUACGGGAGGCAGCAGUAGGGAAUCUUCCACAAUGGGCGAAAGCCUGAUGGAGCAACGCCGCGUGGGUGAAGAAGGUCUUCGGAUCGUAAAACCCUGUUGUUAGAGCAGCAAGUGCGUGAGAGUAACUGUUCACGUUUCGACGGUAUCUAACCAGACAGCCACGGCUAACUACGUGCCAGCAGCCGCGAUAAUCCGUAGGUGGCAAGCGUUAUCCGGCUUUAUUGGGCGUACCGGGACCGCCGGCGGUCUUUUACGUCUGAUGUG
This 269-nucleotide ribosomal RNA is filed under the name uncultured bacterium. RNAcentral describes it as "partial 16S ribosomal RNA". It matches the Rfam family "Bacterial small subunit ribosomal RNA", at positions 335 to 596 of the family's 1533-position model. The record is from RNAcentral.